This 349-nucleotide unclassified non-coding RNA is filed under the name Eirenidae gen. sp. GAM-2014. RNAcentral's name for it is "contains 16S-23S intergenic spacer region". It matches the Rfam family "Bacterial large subunit ribosomal RNA", at positions 1945 to 2447 of the family's 2925-position model. The record is from RNAcentral. Lineage: Eukaryota; Metazoa; Cnidaria; Hydrozoa; Leptothecata; Eirenidae.
UCCGUGAUAAAGUAGCAUAAUCACUCGCCAUUUAAUUGAUGGAUAGUAUGAAUGGUUGAACGAAUACUCCACUGUCUUAAAGAGAAUUAUAUAAAACUGAAGUAAUAGUCAAGAUGCUAUUUUAAACUGUAAGACGAAAAGACCCUAUAGAGCUUAACUAUACGCUCUUUACUAAAAAUAAGAUAACUAUCUUAAAAAUAAAGAGAAUGGUAGUUUAGUUGGGGCGACUGCCUUCUAAAAUUAACGAAGGUAAGCAAAGUUAAUCUUAAAACUUAUUGUAUAAUCAAAAUAUUUAACAAUUACUAACGUAGGUUAUAUUGACCCGUUGAAGUAGAAGAUAUUAUCAACG